GCAGCGCACUCCUACGGGAGGCAGCAGUGGGGGAAUAUUGCACAAUGGGCGCAAGCCUGAUGCAGCCAUGCCGCGUGUAUGAAGAAGGCCUUCGGGUUGUAAAGUACUUUUCAGCAGUGAGGAAGGUGGGUAUGUUAAUAGCAUAUUCAUUUGACGUUUAGCUGCAGAAGAAGCACCGGCUAACUCCGUGCCAGCAGCCGCGGUAAUACGGAGGGUGCGAGCGUUAAUCGGAAUUACUGGGCGUAAAGCGCAUGCAGGUGGUUUGUUAAGUCAGAUGUGAAAGCCCGGGGCUCAACCUCGGAAUUGCAUUUGAAACUGGCAAACUAGAGUACUGUAGGAGGGGGUAGAAUUUCAGGUGUAGCGGUGAAAUGCGUAGAGAUCUGAAGGAAUACCGGUGGCGAAGGCCGGCCCCCUGGACAGAUACUGACACUCAGAUGCGAAAGCGUGGGGAGCAAACAGGAUUAGAUACCCUGGUAG
RNAcentral lists this ribosomal RNA (477 nucleotides) under uncultured bacterium. RNAcentral describes it as "bacterial SSU rRNA". It matches the Rfam family "Bacterial small subunit ribosomal RNA", at positions 328 to 793 of the family's 1533-position model. The record is from RNAcentral.